RNAcentral lists this ribosomal RNA (80 nucleotides) under Acidaminobacter sp. JC074. Its description in RNAcentral is "partial 23S ribosomal RNA". Lineage: Bacteria; Bacillati; Bacillota; Clostridia; Peptostreptococcales; Acidaminobacteraceae. The record is from RNAcentral.
AUCUGGUUGAUAGGUCUAAGCUGUAAGCGUAGCAAUAUGUUUAGGUGAUAGAUACUAAUAGGUCGAGGACUUGACCAAAU